RNAcentral lists this ribosomal RNA (492 nucleotides) under uncultured bacterium. Its description in RNAcentral is "partial 16S ribosomal RNA". It matches the Rfam family "Bacterial small subunit ribosomal RNA", at positions 29 to 507 of the family's 1533-position model. The record is from RNAcentral.
AGUGAACGCUGGCGGUAGGCCUAACACAUGCAAGUCGAACGGCAGCACAGUAAGAGCUUGCUCUUACGGGUGGCGAGUGGCGGACGGGGGAGGAAUACAUCGGAAUCUACUUUUUCGUGGGGGAUAACGUAGGGAAACUUACGCUAAUACCGCAUACGACCUACGGGUGAAAGCAGGGGAUCUUCUGACCUUGCGCGAUUGAAUGAGCCGAUGUCGGCUUAGCUAGUUGGCGGGGUAAAGGCCCACCAAGGCGACGAUCCGUAGCUGGUCUGAGAGGAUGAUCAGCCACACUGGAACUGAGACACGGUCCAGACUCCUACGGUGGGAAGCAGUGGGGAAUAUUGGACAAUGGGGGCGAGCCUGAUCCAGCCCUACCGCGUGGGUGAAGAAGGACUUCGGGUUGUAAAGCCCUUUUGUUGGGAAAGAAAAGCAGCAGGUUAACACCCCGCUGUUCUGACGGUACCCAAAGAAUAAGCACCGGCUAACUUCGUG